CUGCAGUCGAACGGCAGCACGGGUGCUUGCACCUGGUGGCGAGUGGCGAACGGGUGAGUAAUACAUCGGAACAUGUCCUGUAGUGGGGGAUAGCCCGGCGAAAGCCGGAUUAAUACCGCAUACGAUCCACGGAUGAAAGCGGGGGACCUUCGGGCCUCGCGCUAUAGGGUUGGCCGAUGGCUGAUUAGCUAGUUGGUGGGGUAAAGGCCUACCAAGGCGACGAUCAGUAGCUGGUCUGAGAGGACGACCAGCCACACUGGGACUGAGACACGGCCCAGACUCCUACGGGAGGCAGCAGUGGGGAAUUUUGGACAAUGGGCGAAAGCCUGAUCCAGCAAUGCCGCGUGUGUGAAGAAGGCCUUCGGGUUGUAAAGCACUUUUGUCCGGAAAGAAAUCCUUGGCUCUAAUACAGUCGGGGGAUGACGGUACCGGAAGAAUAAGCACCGGCUAACUACGUGCCAGCAGCCGCGGUAAUACGUAGGGUGCAAGCGUUAAUCGGAAUUACUGGGCGUAAAGCGUGCGCAGGCGGUUUGCUAAGACCGAUGUGAAAUCCCCGGGCUCAACCUGGGAACUGCAUUGGUGACUGGCAGGCUAGAGUAUGGCAGAGGGGGGUAGAAUUCCACGUGUAGCAGUGAAAUGCGUAGAGAUGUGGAGGAAUACCGAUGGCGAA
RNAcentral lists this ribosomal RNA (670 nucleotides) under Burkholderia territorii. Its description in RNAcentral is "bacterial SSU rRNA". It matches the Rfam family "Bacterial small subunit ribosomal RNA", at positions 55 to 719 of the family's 1533-position model. The record is from RNAcentral. Lineage: Bacteria; Pseudomonadati; Pseudomonadota; Betaproteobacteria; Burkholderiales; Burkholderiaceae.